AUUGAACGCUGGCGGCAUGCUUUACACAUGCAAGUCGAACGGUAACAGGGAGCUUGCUCCGCUGACGAGUGGCGAACGGGUGAGUAAUGCAUCGGAACGUACCGUGUAAUGGGGGAUAACGUAGCGAAAGUUACGCUAAUACCGCAUACGCCCUGGGGGGGAAAGUGGGGGACCGCAAGGCCUCACGUUAUACGAGCGGCCGAUGUCGGAUUAGCUAGUUGGUGGGGUAAAGGCCUACCAAGGCGACGAUCCGUAGCGGGUCUGAGAGGAUGAUCCGCCACACUGGGACUGAGACACGGCCCAGACUCCUACGGGAGGCAGCAGUGGGGAAUUUUGGACAAUGGGGGCAACCCUGAUCCAGCCAUGCCGCGUGAGUGAAGAAGGCC
RNAcentral lists this ribosomal RNA (386 nucleotides) under uncultured bacterium. RNAcentral's name for it is "bacterial SSU rRNA". It matches the Rfam family "Bacterial small subunit ribosomal RNA", at positions 29 to 416 of the family's 1533-position model. The record is from RNAcentral.